This 438-nucleotide ribosomal RNA is filed under the name uncultured eukaryote. RNAcentral describes it as "bacterial SSU rRNA". It matches the Rfam family "Eukaryotic small subunit ribosomal RNA", at positions 330 to 766 of the family's 1831-position model. The record is from RNAcentral.
GGGGUAGAGGCCCGCCGCGGUAACGACGGGUAACGGGGAAUCAGGGUUCGAUUCCGGAGAGGGAGCCCGAGAAACGGCUACCACUUCCAAGGAAGGCAGCAGGCGCGCAACUUACCCUAAUCUCGAUUCGAGGAGGUAGUGACAAGAAAUACCGAUGCGGGACCCUACGGGUGCCGCGUUCGGAAUGAGUACGAUUCGAACCACCUAACGAGGAACGAUCGGAGGGCAAGUCUGGUGCCAGCAGCCGCGGUAAUUCCAGCUCCAAUAGCGUACGUUAAAGUUGCUGCAGUUAAAAAGCUCGUAGUUGAACGUUCGGGUUCCGCGGGACGGGGCCGCCCCGCCGAGGGACGGCGCCGCCCCGGGGCCGUCGUGAUAUCUUAUCUCGCCGCCCGUCGCGAGGCGGACGGAGGGGAGUGGAUGAGGUUACCUGGAAAAAAU